RNAcentral lists this non-coding RNA (31 nucleotides) under Rattus norvegicus (Norway rat). The record is from RNAcentral. Lineage: Eukaryota; Metazoa; Chordata; Mammalia; Rodentia; Muridae.
UAUUAUGGUAAUGACAUAAGGCAAGGCUGAG